UGCAAGUCGAGCGGUAACAGGGGUAGCUUGCUACCCGCUGACGAGCGGCGGACGGGUGAGUAAUGCAUGGGUAUCUGCCCGGUAGUGGGGGAUAACUCGGGGAAACCCGAGCUAAUACCGCAUACGUCCUACGGGAGAAAGCAGGGGAUCUUCGGACCUUGCGCUAUCGGAUGAGCCCAUGUCGGAUUAGCUUGUUGGUGAGGUAACGGCUCACCAAGGCCGCGAUCCGUAGCUGGUCUGAGAGGAUGAUCAGCCACACCGGGACUGAGACACGGCCCGGACUCCUACGGGAGGCAGCAGUGGGGAAUAUUGGACAAUGGGGGAAACCCUGAUCCAGCCAUGCCGCGUGUGUGAAGAAGGCCUUCGGGUUGUAAAGCACUUUCAGUGGGGAAGAAGGCAUGGUGGUUAAUAACCAUCAUGAAGGACAUCACCCACAGAAGAAGCACCGGCUAACUCCGUGCCAGCAGCCGCGGUAAUACGGAGGGUGCAAGCGUUAAUCGGAAUUACUGGGCGUAAAGGGCGCGUAGGCGGCUUGCCAAGCCGGAUGUGAAAGCCCCGGGCUCAACCCGGGAACGGCAUUCGGAACUGGCAGGCUAGAGUGCAGGAGAGGAAGGUGGAAUUCCCGGUGUAGCGGUGAAAUGCGUAGAGAUCGGGAGGAAUACCAGUGGCGAAAGCGGCCUUCUGGACUGACACUGACGCUGAGGCGCGAAAGCGUGGGUAGCAAACAGGAUUAGAUACCCUGGUAGUCCACGCCGUAAACGAUGUCGACCAGCCGUUGGACCCUUGAGGGUUUGGUGGCGCAGUUAACGCAAUAAGUCGACCGCCUGGGGAGUACGGCCGCAGGCUAAACUCAAUGAAUGACGGGGCCGCACAGCGGUGAGCAUGUGUUUAAUUCGAUGCACGCGAGACUACUGCUCUGACAUCUGCGAAUCU
Molecule: ribosomal RNA, 933 nt
Filed under: Kushneria indalinina
Lineage: Bacteria; Pseudomonadati; Pseudomonadota; Gammaproteobacteria; Oceanospirillales; Halomonadaceae
Description: bacterial SSU rRNA
Rfam family: Bacterial small subunit ribosomal RNA
Source: RNAcentral